GGAAACAAUAUAUGUAUGUAGCAAAAAUGACUUUAUAACAAGAAUUAUAGAGUUGUUCUAUAUUGAAUGUGCAAAGCAGUAUUAAAAAGAUGAAAAAAACUAAACGUGACAUUCCCAUUUUUAAUUUAUGCUAACGUGAAGGCUGAUAGCACAGAACAUCAGAACAGAUAAAUUACAUUAUUGAACAUUGCACUUUACCAACUCCCUACUCAAAUUUCUCACAUUUAUAAACAUGAGUAAAGGGGGCACAAAAAUGGAGGGGAUGGUGUGUGCACUGUUCAUCUGUGUUCAAUUGUGAAAUAUAAUAUCACAACACAGAAUACAAUGAUAUGGGAAUGUGUACAUGCCACAGUAUCUCUAACCAGAUUUAACUCCUAUUUCUUUUCAUGAACUGGGAAGGGAGGCAGGGUGUCUCGAUUCAUUUAUUACUAGCUGUUCUGCGGUAGAGGAGAUCACCUUAAAAUAUAAUUGAAGAGGUCGGACUCAUUUCCUUCAGUUCAAAUGCACCCUCCCUCCUGUUUCUACACAAAAACACAUCAUUUUGCUAUUAAAACUUUCCAUUUCUCACAAGUGACUUUUCCCAAACUCAAGUCAAAAGCACCUAGGCUUUUACCACAUCUUGUAGGCAGAGUUGCGGUAAUUACUAGUUUCUGUCCUUAAGAAAUUUUUCAAUUUUUUAAACGCCGUCCAAACUGAGCAGGACUCACAUUAACCAUUCCCUAAAGUAGCAGUUUACUGAGGUUAAUACACUUUUCACAAGCGCGUCUAUCCAAUUAAAGUGUACAUAGUACGUUGGACUAUUCGCACCGACUUAAGAGUUACAAUUUUAUAUUAACAAUCAGUCUAAACGCGGUAACUCCCGCCUUUUUCAAAUACUCAUGUUUUGAACCCUCUGACUUUUGGAUUUUAAAAACUGCUCACCCCUCCAGUCCCAACAUAGAACGACAUUUAGCAACUGGUCUUCUGACUUCCUGAUACUGAAAACCACAAGCACCAGAACUGCUGCAUCGGUUUGUUUUAAACCAUUUGCUUUCACGUCACGGGGAAAACAAGGUCGCUCCCCUCCUCCUCCACUGCGGGGCCUAAGCCAAUUGGAAGGACUGAGCCCCUCCGGGCGACAACCAGAAGGCGGCCCCUCCUCCCGCCUGUUGCCAUCCGAAGCAGGAGAAGUCAGUGAGUCCCCUUCACCUUUUCCUAGCUGGUGCCAGGUUCACAGAACAAUUGCUGUGGCUGUGAGUCCUGAGCAAGGAAUAACCUGUCUCGGGGAUGGAACCGGUGAGGCAGGUACAUGCCCUUCUGCGCCCCGAGAACUUUAUCUGCAUUUGACUCUCAUCAAUCAUGACGUCUAAAGUAUAGAAGAAACGGCAAAGAACGUCCCUUCCAUCUCGCCCUGUUUCUCCUGUGCACAUGAUGAAAAUCAGUCAACAGGGAUUUUUCUUCCCUUAAUGGGGGCAAAAUUAGAAGCAAGACAAGACUGGAUUUUGAAGCGGUUGCAGUAACCCAGGUGAAAAAGGAUGAGGGGCUUGCACAGCAACGUGGAUGUACAUAAUGUCACAAAGUCGUACACUUAAAAAUGCUUAAAAUGGUUAAUUUUAGGUUAUGUGUAUUUUAUCACAAUAAAAAAAUAAGAGGCUGACCUGCAGCAGUAAUAGUGAUAACGGCAGAAGAUUCUACAAGUGUUAGGAAAUGGUUGGGUGCAGAUACAUUUUCAUAUCAUUCUCAUGGGCAAAUUGUGCAGAUGAACAAAUAUUAAACUCCAGCACACUAAUGCCAGAAACACUCUUACAACCUUCUCAUUGAAACAAACAGACCUACACAUCAUGAAGUCAUUCAAUCAGAUUUUACAACGAAAUGUUUUUCGUCGUACAUUUAGAACAUUUUCUUUUAUGACAUGUAAAUAUCAAGCUUUAAACAAAUCAUACAGAUGGGAAAAUGAAAUGUGCUGCACUAAAAGCACCCGGAUUUAGCAAAGAAAGGGCAAAAAAGGGGGGAACCACUCCUCGAGGCAUCUCUGGUUCAGUUUUGACUGUCAGAAAUACGAGAGAGGUAAAAGCAUUUCCAGGAUUCAGUUGCAUCUGUGAGUUGAGCACAAAAGGAAAAGAUAAAUAGGAAGGAACUUCAGACAUGACUUGUGCAAACAGCAGAUUCAUCGGUUUUGGUAAUGACAAUUUACAUUUUAGGAUUUGUAAUCUGUUGACAUGUGAUUCAUUGAAAUUCCAUGGAGGAAUUAGAAGAGAUCUGGAAUUAUUUUCAGAAAAAUAUAACAUUUCACGUUAAACUUUCAGAUGUAUAUCUAUCUGGUUUUUCCAAUAUGUCUUUUAACAGAUGGCUUUCUAAUAAUACAUUUUACUGUUCCUUCAUCUCCAUCCCCACAAAUGAUUGGGUAAAGAAGUGAAAAAUACUGUCAAGACCAAUAUUAACGAGGAGUAUGACAGCUAGAAUCAGGAUUUCAUUUUAAUACAGCAUGAUUCUUUUCUACUGAAUUAAAGUUAUUUGAUAAUAGCUCAUGAGUUUCAAUAACAAAAGAGUUUCUUCUAGAGCUCACAAAGAACUUAAAAUGUACAACUUAAAUAAAAAAGAUAUUUUUUUAAAGCCCCGGCAACCAGAAAAUUUACUUAACUUGAUACAUACAGACUUCAGAGAAACCUGACUUUUGUAAAGCCAGGCCAUUUCCUCUAGGAUUUCUGUAAACUCAAUCAUCAUACAGGGGAAAAGCAAGCGUCUGUUACCUUAAGUUCACAAUACUGGAGUGACAGUGACCCACAGCCAAAUUUGAAAUGGCGGUGGCUUCAUACAUUGAAUAAUAGAAACUGUCUUGUUUUUCACAGUUAGUGCAAUCAACCUAAUGGCUUUUGUAUAAUUUUCCAAGCUACUUAAUGGAUAUUUUGUGGUUUAAAAUAAUUAUCUUUCCUGUCAGGCAAGAUAAAGACUCCAAAUUUCUUCAUUUGAAGAGUGAAUCUUCUCAAGAAGACGUUUAUGUUUGUUGGAGCAAUAAUUCCAGGCACUAUUCUACAGACCAACACGAGUCUGUGUUGAAGUGUUCUCAGUGAAAUAAGAAAAAUUGGGGCAAUGCAGUCGUUGCUCUUUUAUGUAUGAAAAGCUAAGUGUCUUCAAACACUAUGAUGGUUCCUCAAAAAAUGAAGCCUGCAAUUGCCGUAUGAUCCAGCAAUCCCACCUCUGGUAUGUACCCAAAAUAAUUGAAAGCAGGGACUCAAAGAAUUAUUUGUAUACCUGUGUUCAUAG
Molecule: long non-coding RNA, 3243 nt
Organism: Rhinolophus ferrumequinum (greater horseshoe bat)
Lineage: Eukaryota; Metazoa; Chordata; Mammalia; Chiroptera; Rhinolophidae
Exons: 3
Source: RefSeq, a predicted model, not a curated record